GGUCUUAUAUUCAAUAAUGAUAUUAAAUUGCAAAUUUAAAGGAGGGGUUCCCCUAAGGCUU
RNAcentral lists this transfer RNA (61 nucleotides) under Trachys variolaris. RNAcentral describes it as "tRNA-Cys". The record is from RNAcentral. Lineage: Eukaryota; Metazoa; Arthropoda; Insecta; Coleoptera; Buprestidae.